UGGCUAAUAAGUGACGGUACCGUUACCAGAAAGGGACGGCUAACUACGUGCCAGCAGCCGCGGUAAUACGUAGGUCCCGAGCGUUAUCCGGAAUUAUUGGGCGUAAAGGGCACGUAGGCGGACAAAUAAGUUUGAUGUCAAAUAUGAUGGCUCAACCAUCAAGAGGCGUUGAAAACUGUUUAUCUAGAAUCUCGGAGAGGUAAGUGGAAUUCCAUGUGUAGCGGUGGAAUGCGUAGAUAUAUGGAGGAACACCAAUGGCGAAGGCAGCUUACUGGACGAAGAUUGACGCUGAGGUGCGAAAGCGUGGGUAGCAAACAGGAUUAGAUACCCUGGUAG
Molecule: ribosomal RNA, 336 nt
Filed under: uncultured bacterium
Lineage: Bacteria
Description: bacterial SSU rRNA
Rfam family: Bacterial small subunit ribosomal RNA
Source: RNAcentral